UGCGUAGGCGGUUUGAUAAGUCUAAGGUGAAAGUUCGGAGCUUAACUCCGGAUUGCCUUAGAAACUGUCAGACUAGAGUGCAGGAGAGGGCAAUGGAAUUCCAUGUGUAGCGGUAAAAUGCGUAGAUAUAUGGAGGAACACCAGUGGCGAAGGCGGUUGCCUGGCCUGUAACUGACGCUGAAGCACGAAAGCGUGGGGAGCAAAUA
This 206-nucleotide ribosomal RNA is filed under the name uncultured bacterium. Its description in RNAcentral is "partial 16S ribosomal RNA". It matches the Rfam family "Bacterial small subunit ribosomal RNA", at positions 568 to 774 of the family's 1533-position model. The record is from RNAcentral.